GGUAAAAUGGCCGAAUUAUUAGGUGAUAAAUUGUAAAUUUAUUUAUGGAACAAAAAAUUCCUUUUGCUA
Molecule: transfer RNA, 69 nt
Filed under: Amblyomma vikirri
Lineage: Eukaryota; Metazoa; Arthropoda; Arachnida; Ixodida; Ixodidae
Description: tRNA-Tyr
Source: RNAcentral